This 253-nucleotide ribosomal RNA is filed under the name uncultured bacterium. RNAcentral describes it as "partial 16S ribosomal RNA". It matches the Rfam family "Bacterial small subunit ribosomal RNA", at positions 524 to 776 of the family's 1533-position model. The record is from RNAcentral.
UACAGAUGGUGCGAGCGUUAAUCGGAAUUACUGGGCGUAAAGCGUGCGUAGACGGUAGCGUAAGUCAGAUGUGAAAGCCCCGGGCUCAACCUGGGAAUUGCAUUUGAGACUGCUCUGCUCGGGUGCGGAAGAGGGAAGCGGAAUUUCCGGUGUAGCGGUGAAAUGCGUAGAUAUCGGAAGGAACACCAGUGGCGAAAGCGGCUUCCUGGUCCGACACCGACGUUCAGGCACGAAAGCGUGGGGAGCAAACAGG